This 468-nucleotide ribosomal RNA is filed under the name uncultured bacterium. RNAcentral's name for it is "partial 16S ribosomal RNA". It matches the Rfam family "Bacterial small subunit ribosomal RNA", at positions 28 to 507 of the family's 1533-position model. The record is from RNAcentral.
GACGAACGCUGGCGGCGUGCUUAACACAUGCAAGUCGAACGGAAAGGCCCUGCUUUUGUGGGGUGCUCGAGUGGCGAACGGGUGAGUAACACGUGAGUAACCUGCCCUUUACUUUGGGAUAACUUCAGGAAACUGGGGCUAAUACCGGAUAGGAGCUCCUGCUGCAUGGUGGGGGGUGGAAAGUUUCGGCGGUUGGGGAUGGACUCGCGGCUUAUCAGCUUGUUGGUGGGGUAGUGGCUUACCAAGGCUUUGACGGGUAGCCGGCCUGAGAGGGUGACCGGCCACAUUGGGACUGAGAUACGGCCCAGACUCCUACGGGAGGCAGCAGUGGGGAAUAUUGCACAAUGGGCGGAAGCCUGAUGCAGCAACGCCGCGUGCGGGAUGACGGCCUUCGGGUUGUAAACCGCUUUCGCCUGUGACGAAGCGUGAGUGACGGUAAUGGGUAAAGAAGCACCGGCUAACUACGUG